This 489-nucleotide ribosomal RNA is filed under the name uncultured bacterium. Its description in RNAcentral is "partial 16S ribosomal RNA". It matches the Rfam family "Bacterial small subunit ribosomal RNA", at positions 30 to 507 of the family's 1533-position model. The record is from RNAcentral.
UUGAACGCUGGCGGCAGGCCUAACACAUGCAAGUCGAACGGUAACAGGAAGAAGCUUGCUUCUUUGCCGACGAGUGGCGGACGGGUGAGUAAUGUCUGGGAAACUGCCUGAUGGAGGGGGAUAACUACUGGAAACGGUAGCUAAUACCGCAUAAUGUCGCAAGACCAAAGAGGGGGACCUUCGGGCCUCUUGCCAUCGGAUGUGCCCAGAUGGGAUUAGCUAGUAGGUGGGGUAACGGCUCACCUAGGCGACGAUCCCUAGCUGGUCUGAGAGGAUGACCAGCCACACUGGAACUGAGACACGGUCCAGACUCCUACGGGAGGCAGCAGUGGGGAAUAUUGCACAAUGGGCGCAAGCCUGAUGCAGCUAUGCCGCGUGUAUGAAGAAGGCCUUCGGGUUGUAAAGUACUUUCAGCGGGGAGGAAGGGAGUAAAGUUAAUACCUUUGCUCAUUGACGUUACCCGCAGAAGAAGCACCGGCUAACUCCGUG